GACGAACGCUGGCGGCGUGCUUGAUACAUGCAAGUCGAACGGACCUUUUGAGGGAGCUUGCUUUCUUGGAAGGUUAGUGGCGGACGGGUGAGUAACGCGUGGGCAAUCUGCCCCGAGGCCCGGGACAACAGUUCGAAAGGGCUGCUAAUACCGGAUGACCCUGCGGAAUGGCAUCAUUCUGCAAGCAAAGGUUACGCCUUGGGAUGAGCCCGCGUCCCAUUAGCUAGUUGGUGAGGUAACGGCCCACCAAGGCGACGAUGGGUAGCCGGACUGAGAGGUUGGCCGGCCACACUGGGACUGAGACACGGCCCAGACUCCUACGGGAGGCAGCAGUAGGGAAUUUUCGUCAAUGGGGGAAACCCUGAACGAGCGACGCCGCGUGAGGGACGAAGGCCUUCGGGUUGUAAACCUCUGUCUAGAGGGACGAUAAUGACGGUACCUCUGGAGGAAGCCACGGCUAACUACGUGCCAGCAGCCGCGGUAAGACGUAGUGGCGA
This 497-nucleotide ribosomal RNA is filed under the name uncultured soil bacterium. Its description in RNAcentral is "bacterial SSU rRNA". It matches the Rfam family "Bacterial small subunit ribosomal RNA", at positions 28 to 537 of the family's 1533-position model. The record is from RNAcentral.